RNAcentral lists this ribosomal RNA (1012 nucleotides) under Penicillium alfredii. RNAcentral describes it as "SSU rRNA". It matches the Rfam family "Eukaryotic small subunit ribosomal RNA", at positions 85 to 1106 of the family's 1831-position model. The record is from RNAcentral. Lineage: Eukaryota; Fungi; Ascomycota; Eurotiomycetes; Eurotiales; Aspergillaceae.
AACUGCGAAUGGCUCAUUAAAUCAGUUAUCGUUUAUUUGAUAGUACCUUACUACAUGGAUACCUGUGGUAAUUCUAGAGCUAAUACAUGCUGAAAACCCCGACUUCAGGAAGGGGUGUAUUUAUUAGAUAAAAAACCAACGCCCUUCGGGGCUCCUUGGUGAAUCAUAAUAACUUAACGAAUCGCAUGGCCUUGCGCCGGCGAUGGUUCAUUCAAAUUUCUGCCCUAUCAACUUUCGAUGGUAGGAUAGUGGCCUACCAUGGUGGCAACGGGUAACGGGGAAUUAGGGUUCGAUUCCGGAGAGGGAGCCUGAGAAACGGCUACCACAUCCAAGGAAGGCAGCAGGCGCGCAAAUUACCCAAUCCCGACACGGGGAGGUAGUGACAAUAAAUACUGAUACGGGGCUCUUUCGGGUCUCGUAAUUGGAAUGAGAACAAUUUAAAUCCCUUAACGAGGAACAAUUGGAGGGCAAGUCUGGUGCCAGCAGCCGCGGUAAUUCCAGCUCCAAUAGCGUAUAUUAAAGUUGUUGCAGUUAAAAAGCUCGUAGUUGAACCUUGGGUCUGGCUGGCCGGUCCGCCUCACCGCGAGUACUGGUCCGGCUGGACCUUUCCUUCUGGGGAACCCCAUGGCCUUCACUGGCUGUGGGGGGAACCAGGACUUUUACUGUGAAAAAAUUAGAGUGUUCAAAGCAGGCCUUUGCUCGGAUACAUUAGCAUGGAAUAAUAGAAUAGGACGUGCGGUUCUAUUUUGUUGGUUUCUAGGACCGCCGUAAUGAUUAAUAGGGAUAGUCGGGGGCGUCAGUAUUCAGCUGUCAGAGGUGAAAUUCUUGGAUUUGCUGAAGACUAACUACUGCGAAAGCAUUCGCCAAGGAUGUUUUCAUUAAUCAGGGAACGAAAGUUAGGGGAUCGAAGACGAUCAGAUACCGUCGUAGUCUUAACCAUAAACUAUGCCGACUAGGGAUCGGACGGGAUUCUAUGAUGACCCGUUCGGCACCUUACGAGAAAUCAAAGUUU